CGAUUUAUUACUGACUACAAUGGAUUGGGACUCGAUGAAUUGGGUUUAAAUGCUAUGGUUUUUGAGUCGCUGAAAUCUGUUUUAGGAUUAACAUGACUUGUAUUUAGAAGCACUUUUUUUCGUAUGCAUUUUUCACUCAUUUGCCAUUGUUAUUACAACAUAUUGAACCUUGUAGUUUUUCUUUUUCCCAAGUGUUUCUAGUAUUUGCAUUAUCUAUCUGCAAUGAAUCUUAGAGCAAUUAAUAUUGUAAAUCGGGAUUGUUAUGUGUAUUUUGAUCUGUUGAUUGAGUAGAACUGUGCAUGUAGAGGGUCGGGUUUUAAUGUUCAUAGUGCUAACACAUUCAUCUUUUUCACAGUUGGUGCUGAAGCAAAUGAUGACAGGCUUCAGUUUCUUCUCAAGAAAGUUCAGGGAAGCUGCUCUUGAUUUGGUAGCUGUGAUGUCAGUGGAGAAUUAUGUUUAAUUUUUGACUUCUCUGUAUAUGUUGCAUAAGGAUAAAUUUUAAGAUUAAGGACUGAUGUCGAAUUCAAUUUGGGGCAAAUCUCAGACACAUGAGCCAAGCCUUGGGCAUAGACAUAUCAUAAUCGUUUCUUCAAUCGCAUAUCAUUUGCCUUCAUACAGUCGUGAUUCAUGCUAAAGA
Long non-coding RNA from Rosa chinensis, 637 nucleotides. RefSeq lists it as uncharacterized. The record is from RefSeq and is a predicted model, not a curated record. The transcript is spliced from 3 exons. NCBI's taxonomy places the organism in Eukaryota, Viridiplantae, Streptophyta, Magnoliopsida, Rosales, Rosaceae.